RNAcentral lists this transfer RNA (72 nucleotides) under Candidatus Woesearchaeota archaeon. RNAcentral's name for it is "tRNA-Tyr". It matches the Rfam family "tRNA". Rfam says of the family: Transfer RNA (tRNA) molecules are approximately 80 nucleotides in length. Their secondary structure includes four short double-helical elements and three loops (D, anti-codon, and T loops). The record is from RNAcentral. Lineage: Archaea; Nanobdellati; Candidatus Woesearchaeota.
CCCCGCUUAGCUCAACGGUAGAGCGGGCGGCUGUAGCCCGCCAGGUUGCAGGUUCAAAUCCCGCAGCGGGGA